GCCUCCCUGUCAUGUUCGUGUAAGAAUUUUGUUUUUUGAGCCAAUGUUUUGAAAAUGGGGAUGACUUUCUAUCACGGUGUGCAAGCCUUCAUUACGAUGCAAGAUCGAAGGAAGCCUAAAGUGGUAUACAGAUUCCCCACCUGUCCUUGACAGGUUCAAAAAAAACAUUUUU
RNAcentral lists this non-coding RNA (172 nucleotides) under Nitrospina sp. RNAcentral's name for it is "partial 6S RNA". It matches the Rfam family "6S / SsrS RNA", at positions 1 to 165 of the family's 187-position model. Rfam says of the family: E. coli 6S RNA was the first non coding RNA to be sequenced, but its function was unknown until recently. Lineage: Bacteria; Pseudomonadati; Nitrospinota; Nitrospinia; Nitrospinales; Nitrospinaceae. The record is from RNAcentral.